Molecule: long non-coding RNA, 2311 nt
Organism: Oncorhynchus tshawytscha (Chinook salmon)
Lineage: Eukaryota; Metazoa; Chordata; Actinopteri; Salmoniformes; Salmonidae
Source: Ensembl
CAAGCAUUCAGCUUCUCUGCUGAAUCAGACUGAAGACGAGACGUCCCACAGCAUUCCCACCAGCAGCCCAGGGGAUCUUAGCUCUUAGAUAAAGCUGCUCUCCAUGUCAAAGAAGACUUGAGGAGAGUAUGUAAAUAGGAUGUGGGAUAUUGUGUGUGUGUGCGCACUUGUUCGUGUGCGUUUUUGUGUGUUUUGUGCGCGCAUGGGUGCGUGUCUGUGGUAUGUGUGUGUACAUUAUGUGACUGUAAUUUACUCAUACUGUAUAACUGUUUCCCCCAUUACAGAUGUGUAAUAUUCCUUACUUGAGCACCAGACUGGAUCUGCUGAUGACUCUGAGAGAGCUUCCCGUAAGCAUGGAGGAUCUGCAGCCACUGAUUAACCAGAAGAUCAGGAUGUGCACGCAGUUAUGCGGCUCCAGGUCGUUCAUCUCCGUGCUGCAGUACCUGCUGUCCAUCGGCAAUUGCCUCAACAAGAACGCAGGGCAGGGAAAGGCCAAGGGAUUCCGCCUGUCCUCUUUAACUAAACUCUCCCAGGUCCAUGGGACAGACAGGAAGUUCACCUUGCUGCAUGCCCUUGUGGAGCAGAUCAUGUUGCACGAAGCCGGCUUGGCCACUUUUCCCCAAGAGUUGGCGGAAUUCGAAACUGUCCCUGGAGCUUCCAUUAAAGGCCUAACUGCUGAAGUGGAUGAUGAGCGCAUCAUAGUGUGGCGGUGAAGGGAAUUUCCAUUUGUCAGGCAUAUUAUGACGAUUGAGAAGUACAACACAGAUCUCUCCCUGCUGACAAAGAGGUGUGAGGGAAUGAGGAAACUCUACACUGAUAUAUUGGCUAAAUUCGGAGAGCCAAUGGAUCAAGAUUCUCAGGAGCUGUUUGGAUUGGUGUGCCAGUUUGUCAACGACUUCAAGAGGACACAUACUGAAAUCAGAUAACAAUAUUUGCUGUCCUUGAGAUACUAUCUAUGUAAAUUCAGCCAGUCUGAAUAGAAUGUAGUUAUAAUUUGUGUACCACACAAGCUGUGCUAUUUCAGUAGUCAAAAAAACCUGGCAUUCUACUGAGAAACAUAACUCACAGCUGUGACUAAUAUUAUGAUCAGGCGGCUAGACUUGAGUACUGCAAUUUCAGUAGGAAAAUAUUUUAGUGUACAGUACUAUGCUGAAAUUACAACAAGUCUACACUGAGUGUACAAAACAUGCUCUUACUAUGACAUAGACUUACCAGGUGAAUCCCGGUGAAAGCUCUGAUCCCUUAUUGAUGUCACUUGUUAAAUCCACUUCAAUCAGUAUAGAUGAAAGGGAGGAGACAGGUUAAAGAAGGAUUUUUCAACCUUGAGACAUGGAAUGUGUAUGUGUGCCAUUAAGAGGGUGAAUGGGCAAGACAAAAGAUUUAAGCUCCUUUUGAACGGGGUAUGGUAGUAGGUGCCAGGCGCACCAGUAUCUGUCAAGAACUGCAAUGCUGCUGGGUAUUUCAUGCUCAACAGUGUCCCAUGUAUAUCAAGAAUGAUCCAACAGCACAUCCGGCCAACUUGACACAACUGUGGGAAACGUUGGAGUCAACAUGGGUCAGCAUCCCUAUGGAACACUUUCGAUACAUUGUAGAGUCCAUUCCCAGACAAAUUGAGGCUGUUCUGAGGGCAAAAGGGGGUGUUUGUAUACUCAGCGUAUAACAGCUAUGUGGUUGGGGACCAUAGAUUAACUGUUAGUUGGGAUUCAUUGUGACAAAUUGUCUGAAAUCGAUUGAAAUAAUUAAUUGAAUUGAACUUAUGAGACAGUUUGGGGAAUGCCAGCACUUGAUUUUUCACAGCUGUCUGUCUGCUGGCAAGGGAACCUAAUCACAAAAAACACUCACACACUAGCCUUCUGAAAACAGUCCAUUUUGAUUACCUAAUUUGUCUUGGGUUGGUUGGAGACAGAGAUUUCAUAUUCCAGUACCUCAGGAAUAGCUCCAAGACCCUUCUCUGAUUCAAGACAACAUCUGGUGCUGUUUGCCAUUUAAAAUGUUUCCCCUGCUCUCUUGUAAUUGGUAUUGCAGCAGCAAAAUGGGUGCUGUUAGCAACAGCUUGAAAAUACUUUCGAUUGAUUUUGAGAGAGAGAGUGUCUGUGUCUUGAUAUUUUAAUUAGAGGACUGAAAAAAAAGCAGCAUUGGUUAGUUGGUCUAACUGUGAACCAACAAUAUAAUGAUCCAGGACCCCAUGCUGGGGUGUUUAAUUUAUAAAGCCGUACUGUCACGCCCUGGUCUAAGUAUUUUGUGUUUUUCUUCAUGUAUUGGGUCAGGCCAGGGUGUGGCAUGGGGUUUUUGUAUUGUGGUGUGUUUUGUC